CCCUUAUUCAGAGUGAUGGAGAUACAUAGGAUCAGUGAAGUCACGGCAACCCCUUGCAAAAGGAAGGUGCCAACCUGAGCGAGCAGGCAUUGCCUGCAGUCGAACAAUAAGAG
Molecule: regulatory RNA element, 113 nt
Organism: Clostridiales bacterium KLE1615
Lineage: Bacteria; Bacillati; Bacillota; Clostridia; Eubacteriales
Rfam family: SAM riboswitch aptamer (S box leader)
About the family: The SAM riboswitch is found upstream of a number of genes which code for proteins involved in methionine or cysteine biosynthesis in Gram-positive bacteria. The SAM riboswitch acts at the level of transcription termination control. The predicted structure consists of a complex stem-loop region followed by a single stem loop terminator region.
Source: Rfam